GCGGACGUGGUGCACGGCGCACCCGUGCCUUCAAUAAACUAUUAAACAAAAGUAAAAGCAGUCAAACGGGGUUCGACUCCCCGUGUCCGCA
Non-coding RNA from Mycena latifolia, 91 nucleotides. Lineage: Eukaryota; Fungi; Basidiomycota; Agaricomycetes; Agaricales; Mycenaceae. The record is from the annotation of a GenBank genome assembly.